CCUACGGGGGGCAGCAGUAGGGAAUAUUGCUCAAUGGGGGAAACCCUGAAGCAGCAACGCCGCGUGGAGGAUGAAGGUUUUCGGAUUGUAAACUCCUUUUGUUAGAGAAGAUAAUGACGGUAUCUAACGAAUAAGCACCGGCUAACUCCGGGCCAGCAGCCGCGGUAAUACGGAGGGUGCAAGCGUUACUCGGAAUCACUGGGCGUAAAGAGCGCGUAGGCGGGUUAGGAAGUCAGAUGUGAAAUCCUAUGGAUGAACCAUAAUACUGCAGUUGAAACUGUUAGGCUAGAGUACGGUAGAGGUGGGGAGAAUGAGUGGUGUAGUGGUGAAAUGCUUAGAGAUUACGAGGAA
RNAcentral lists this ribosomal RNA (351 nucleotides) under uncultured bacterium. RNAcentral describes it as "partial 16S ribosomal RNA". It matches the Rfam family "Bacterial small subunit ribosomal RNA", at positions 338 to 706 of the family's 1533-position model. The record is from RNAcentral.